UACGUAGGGUGCAAGCGUUAAUCGGAAUUACUGGGCGUAAAGCGUGCGCAGGCGGUUGUGCAAGACAGAUGUGAAAUCCCCGGGCUCAACCUGGGAAUUGCAUUUGUGACUGCACGGCUAGAGUGUGUCAGGAGGGGGGUAGAAUUCCACGUGUAGCAGUGAAAUGCGUAGAGAUGUGGAGGAAUACCGAUGGCGAAGGCAGCCCCCUGGGAUAACACUGACGCUCAUGCACGAAAGCGUGGGGAGCAAACAGG
RNAcentral lists this ribosomal RNA (254 nucleotides) under uncultured bacterium. Its description in RNAcentral is "partial 16S ribosomal RNA". It matches the Rfam family "Bacterial small subunit ribosomal RNA", at positions 524 to 776 of the family's 1533-position model. The record is from RNAcentral.